This is an RNA transcript of Carlito syrichta (Philippine tarsier), 409 nucleotides long. It is a transcript of the gene named mitochondrial import receptor subunit TOM6 homolog pseudogene, with no coding region annotated. The record is from RefSeq and is a predicted model, not a curated record. Lineage: Eukaryota; Metazoa; Chordata; Mammalia; Primates; Tarsiidae. The transcript has 2 exons.
AUGCCCAAAAAAGACCUUCGGGAAAGGAAAAAAGGUUCUUUACUAAAACUACGGUUUUCCAGAAAAAGUUUACAAUCCCACCGAUUACUAUCGCUCGGCAUAUCUCCGGACAAUGUGGGAGACUGGCUUCGGGGCGUCUACCGCUUUGCAACCGAUAGGAAUGACUUCCAGAGGAAUUUGAUACUCAAUUUGGGACUCUUUGCUGCGGGAGUUUGGCUGGCUAGGAACUUGAGUGACAUUGACCUCAUGGCACCUCAGUCCGAGGUGUAGUUAGCCAAGGAGCCAAAUGGAAUCCUGUGCUGUACCCGAACCACCUAAAAACAGAGCCUAUGAUCUGUGACGACCACAAUGCCCUGAUGGUAGCUUAAAUUUGGUUCAAACGGGCACCUUCCUUUUCCUGUCUGGUUUC